RNA transcript from Salvia splendens (bonfire salvia), 1409 nucleotides. RefSeq lists it as uncharacterized. NCBI's taxonomy places the organism in Eukaryota, Viridiplantae, Streptophyta, Magnoliopsida, Lamiales, Lamiaceae. The transcript has 3 exons. The record is from RefSeq and is a predicted model, not a curated record.
ACUUUCCUUUCUCCCAUCUUGAUUUCCCCCAAACAUGCAUCUCAAAUCCCUAAUUGAAACGGCGCCUUCUUUCCAUCUCUCACCUUCUCCGGCGACUUCAUGCCUGGAGUGACUCCGACCUCUCUUCGUUCCCGGCGAGGACGCCGUUUCGAAUGGGUCGCCGAAUCUCAUGUUUCACAAUGACGGCGCACUUGGUGUCUCCGUCUGCCCUUUCACGAUGGCUUCGGUGUUGCCGUCGGAGCCUCGCUGGUGUGCUCUUCGCGAGGGAGUCACUCCGACGCCGAUGACCCGCUUCAGCUCCCUCCGUCCGUGUUCGCAAAUGCCGUUGCUGUUCCAUUCGUCUAUCUCUCUCUCUCGACGAAGGCGUCGGUCUGAAAUCGCCCGUCGACGUCCGCUGUUGCUCUGCAGUGUUCGUGGGGCUGCCCUCGAUGCCCCGUCGUCGUUCGGUCAGAGCCGAUCAACGCUUCUCCAAGCUAAGUUCUAUCAUUUUCUUUAUUUCGUUGAUUUGUGUCUGAAAACUUAAUCGUUCAUCUACUGAAAAGGGCUUGAUAGUUGGCCAAAAAUGUUGUUCUUUUAAUUACAGAGGCUUGCUGUUGUUGUGGGGCUUUUAUCAUCAUGCCUCUAAGUUCCGACCUAGUUAGGCUGCCUAAAGCUUACUAGUGCUCUAUCGGUGUUAUGCUCAUGCUUAGCUAUGAGGUGAUGGUGUUAUGAGCAUGCUAGUUUCACCUAUGAAUUUGUGAACUAUAUGCUGUAAAACUGAGCUAUUGGAGGAUUACCUGUGUGAGUUGUUAUGGCUGCUGUCUCUAGCUCGGCUCCUCCCUUCUCCUUAGCUUGUAGUGUGCUAUUGAUUGUGGUAAUGAAGGAGGAAGGACUGAGGGGCUAUUUAUAAUGGUUUGCCUAACUGAAAGCCUGAGGAAGGCUGGUGUACUUGGCUGAAAAGGGAAAUCUCAGGCUGAGCAGCUGGCUACUCUGUCUGCAGCUCUGCAGAGUACGAACUGGGCAAGGUUGUUUGGCUGGGUGGAGUGCACCUGCCGUUGCGCAGUGAACUGGCUGGACAACCUGCUGGAAGGGCAGGCCAUUUCUGGUGGUGGCAGCCUUCAUCCUUGCCUAUUUUGAGAAAAAGGGCUGCUAAGCAUGGCUCUCGCCCUGGGUGUACCAAUUCGUCGGGCCGUUUGAGCUGGGCCGAGACCAGGCCUGAGAUACAUCCUGUGACUCGUAAUUGUAAAAGCCUAGUUCAACUUAAAUUUUAGUUCUUCAUGUAGACGAGUCUCUGUAAUCGUUAAUGUGUAUUCGGUUUCCUUUGUUUUCACUGUCAACAUUUGUAAUACACGAUUUAAAUUGGAAGUUCUAAAUAUCAUGUUUUGUUUACUCAAGAAUAUAAAUAAAUACUCUUUCGUUCUUUAUUUAAA